UGCCGCGGCCAUGGCGAGAUACGCCACCCGCCAGCCGCCGAACUCGGCGAAGUAGAGCGCACCGGCGCCGCCGAGGAUCAGGCCCAGGCGGUAGCCGAACGAAUAGGUCGCCGCGAGUG
This 119-nucleotide ribosomal RNA is filed under the name Aquimonas voraii. Lineage: Bacteria; Pseudomonadati; Pseudomonadota; Gammaproteobacteria; Lysobacterales; Lysobacteraceae. The record is from RNAcentral.